CCGCGGUAAUAUUGGACAAUGGGCGAAAGCCUGAUCCAGCAAUGCCGCGUGAGUGAUGAAGGCCUUAGGGUUGUAAAGCUCUUUACCCGGGGUGAUAAUGACAGUACCGGGAGAAUAAGCUCCGGCUAACUCCGUG
RNAcentral lists this ribosomal RNA (136 nucleotides) under uncultured soil bacterium. Its description in RNAcentral is "partial 16S ribosomal RNA". It matches the Rfam family "Bacterial small subunit ribosomal RNA", at positions 352 to 507 of the family's 1533-position model. The record is from RNAcentral.